UACCAGACUCCUACGGGAGGCAGCAGUGGGGAAUAUUGCACAAUGGGGGAAACCCUGAUGCAGCGACGCCGCGUGAGUGAAGAAGUAUCUCGGUACGUGAAGCUCUAUCAGCAGGGAAGAAAAUGACGGUACCUGACUAAGAAGCCCCGGCUAACUACGUGCCAGCAGCCGCGGUAAUACGUAGGGGGCAAGCGUUAUCCGGAUUUACUGGGUGUAAAGGGAGCGUAGACGGCGAUACAAGUCUGAAGUGAAAGCCCGGGGCUCAACCCCGGGACUGCUUUGGAAACUGUGUUGCUGGAGUGCUGGAGAGGCAAGCGGAAUUCCUAGUGUAGCGGUGAAAUGCGUAGAUAUUAGGAGGAACACCAGUGGCGAAGGCGGCUUACUGGACUGUAACUGACGUUGAGGCUCGAAAGCGUGGGGAGCAAACAGGAUUAGAUACCCCAGUAAA
This 448-nucleotide ribosomal RNA is filed under the name uncultured bacterium. RNAcentral describes it as "bacterial SSU rRNA". It matches the Rfam family "Bacterial small subunit ribosomal RNA", at positions 329 to 794 of the family's 1533-position model. The record is from RNAcentral.